GAGAAAAUAUGAACGGUCUCGUGGAGAGCCUGCUGGGGGGAGCCACUGUGGGGGAGCGCACAUGCCAGCCAGCGCUUAAUUGCGCGGCGGCUGUGGGUGCUCUGCCGGGCGCCCUCUGCGAAGGCGGCUCUGCACAGAGAACAACAUACACACAGUGGAGACGCGUAUGCACGUUUUUCUGGGUGCAUUGGUGCUUUGGGCUGGCGACGGCCCACAGUGCGGCACGCAAAACACAAACAAAAAUGCAGUUGCAAGAAACAGUCAGCAAAAGUAUAAAAAACAUAUACACAAAUAUUCA
RNAcentral lists this ribosomal RNA (298 nucleotides) under Arxiozyma telluris. RNAcentral's name for it is "Kazachstania telluris ribosomal RNA". The record is from RNAcentral. Lineage: Eukaryota; Fungi; Ascomycota; Saccharomycetes; Saccharomycetales; Saccharomycetaceae.